UUUUAGCCCCGAUAGCAGUGAAAACCCUUUUGUGCCGGGGUUCGGCAUAAAAGGUUGCAGCGGAUAGCGGGAUUAGCU
This 78-nucleotide small RNA is filed under the name Flavobacterium collinsii. RNAcentral describes it as "Flavo-1". It matches the Rfam family "Flavo-1 RNA". The record is from RNAcentral. Lineage: Bacteria; Pseudomonadati; Bacteroidota; Flavobacteriia; Flavobacteriales; Flavobacteriaceae.